GGAACAGGACUUGGCUCAGUGCUUAAGGUCUAUAAGAGAAAUGGUGGUGUUAUAUGGGGGUGUUGCUAAUGGCAGUGAGUGCCUUGCCUGAGGCAGUCUGUGUGGGCAGCUGUGUCCUGUGUGGGUGUCCAUGUGUGUGCCUUCCUUGGACACAUGGUCAGGAUUGCUAUGUUUGGUUUACGUGGCAAGAGUAAAGUAAAGGAAGAGGGUGUGUGUGUGUGUGUGUGUGUGUGUGUGUAUAAGGGAGGACUUUGUGAGGAGAUUUCAGAAGCUGCUCCAAGUGAGAAAGAGAGAAUGAUCAAAUUCUUGGCUGGGAUGGCUCAGUGAUUUAAAUGUAGGGUGAGAAUGAUGUUGAUAACAGACCGAUGUUUCAGUUGAUGCUGAGCAGUGCUUACACCAAGCCAAGGACUUUUCUGCUCCUCAGACCGCCCCGCCAGCAGAGUCAUUUCCGGCAGCUCUGUCAUCUUGGGGCUGGCAGGUGGUUUUCUGACUCCUUCUCACUCAGCAAACAGGAGGGUCAGUCUCAGCAUGCACCGCACCUAUCUCGUCCUCACUGCCUUCCUGGGACAACUGUUGGAUGCCGUGGGGCAGACCAUCGUCACCCAGCAAGAAGGACAGGUCACAGUGGAGGAGAGAAACACCUUCCAGACCACCUGCACAUACCAGACAUCUGGCUUUCCUAGCUUAAUUUGGUACCAGAGGAAGAAAGGCCAAGCCCCCCAGCUGGUCACAUAUCAGGCAGCAGCAGGCCCCAAGCAGAACGGCCGCUUCACCACGUGGCUCAACACCACCGGGAAAUACAGCCUCCUGCGGCUGGCCGAAGUCGAGCUCUCUGACAGCGCCUUGUACCUCUUUCCUGAGCCUGAGGAUAACCGCUACAUGCUUGGGAAGACGUGA
Non-coding RNA from Numida meleagris (helmeted guineafowl), 897 nucleotides. NCBI's taxonomy places the organism in Eukaryota, Metazoa, Chordata, Aves, Galliformes, Numididae. The record is from the annotation of a RefSeq genome assembly.